Molecule: ribosomal RNA, 526 nt
Filed under: uncultured bacterium
Lineage: Bacteria
Description: bacterial SSU rRNA
Rfam family: Bacterial small subunit ribosomal RNA
Source: RNAcentral
ACAUACUAAGAACUUUCCAGAGAUGGAUUGGUGCCUUCGGGAACUUUAGAUACAGGUGCUGCAUGGCUGUCGUCAGCUCGUGUCGUGAGAUGUUGGGUUAACGUCCGCAACGAGCGCAACCUUUUCCUUAUUUGCCAGCGGGUAAUGCCGGGAACUUUAAGGAUACUGCCAGUGACAAACUGGAGGAAGGCGGGGACGACGUCAAGUCAUCAUGGCCCUUACGGCCAGGGCUACACACGUGCUACAAUGGUCGGUACAAAGGGUUGCUACCUCGCGAGAGGAUGCUAAUCUCAAAAAGCCGAUCGUAGUCCGGAUCGCAGUCUGCAACUCGACUGCGUGAAGUCGGAAUCGCUAGUAAUCGCGGAUCAGAAUGCCGCGGUGAAUACGUUCCCGGGCCUUGUACACACCGCCCGUCACACCAUGGGAGUUUGUUGCACCAGAAGUAGGUAGUCUAACCGCAAGGAGGACGCUUACCACGGUGUGGCCGAUGACUGGGGUGAAGUCGUAACAAGGUAAGCGUAGAUGA